RNAcentral lists this ribosomal RNA (1017 nucleotides) under Escherichia coli. RNAcentral describes it as "partial 23S ribosomal RNA". It matches the Rfam family "Bacterial large subunit ribosomal RNA", at positions 184 to 1239 of the family's 2925-position model. Lineage: Bacteria; Pseudomonadati; Pseudomonadota; Gammaproteobacteria; Enterobacterales; Enterobacteriaceae. The record is from RNAcentral.
CCGGGGGAACUGAAACAUCUAAGUACCCCGAGGAAAAGAAAUCAACCGAGAUUCCCCCAGUAGCGGCGAGCGAACGGGGAGGAGCCCAGAGCCUGAAUCAGUGUGUGUGUUAGUGGAAGCGUCUGGAAAGGCGCGCGAUACAGGGUGACAGCCCCGUACACAAAAAUGCACAUGCUGUGAGCUCGAUGAGUAGGGCGGGACACGUGGUAUCCUGUCUGAAUAUGGGGGGACCAUCCUCCAAGGCUAAAUACUCCUGACUGACCGAUAGUGAACCAGUACCGUGAGGGAAAGGCGAAAAGAACCCCGGCGAGGGGAGUGAAAAAGAACCUGAAACCGUGUACGUACAAGCAGUGGGAGCACAGAGCAAUCUGUGUGACUGCGUACCUUUUGUAUAAUGGGUCAGCGACUUAUAUUCUGUAGCAAGGUUAACCGAAUAGGGGAGCCGAAGGGAAACCGAGUCUUAACUGGGCGUUAAGUUGCAGGGUAUAGACCCGAAACCCGGUGAUCUAGCCAUGGGCAGGUUGAAGGUUGGGUAACACUAACUGGAGGACCGAACCGACUAAUGUUGAAAAAUUAGCGGAUGACUUGUGGCUGGGGGUGAAAGGCCAAUCAAACCGGGAGAUAGCUGGUUCUCCCCGAAAGCUAUUUAGGUAGCGCCUCGUGAAUUCAUCUCCGGGGGUAGAGCACUGUUUCGGCAAGGGGGUCAUCCCGACUUACCAACCCGAUGCAAACUGCGAAUACCGGAGAAUGUUAUCACGGGAGACACACGGCGGGUGCUAACGUCCGUCGUGAAGAGGGAAACAACCCAGACCGCCAGCUAAGGUCCCAAAGUCAUGGUUAAGUGGGAAACGAUGUGGGAAGGCCCAGACAGCCAGGAUGUUGGCUUAGAAGCAGCCAUCAUUUAAAGAAAGCGUAAUAGCUCACUGGUCGAGUCGGCCUGCGCGGAAGAUGUAACGGGGCUAAACCAUGCACCGAAGCUGCGGCAGCGACACUGUGUGUUGUUGGGUAGGGGAGCGU